GCGCACGCUGGCGGCAGGCCUAACCCCUGCCAGUCGAACGAACUCUUCGGAGUUAGUGGCGGACGGGUGAGUAACACGUGGGAACGUGCCUUUUGGUUCGGAAUAACUCAGGGAAACUUGUGCUAAUACCGAAUGUGCCCUUCGGGGGAAAGAUUUAUCGCCAUUAGAGCGGCCCGCGUCUGAUUAGCUAGUUGGUGAGGUAACGGCUCACCAAGGCGACGAUCAGUAGCUGGUCUGAGAGGAUGACCAGCCACACUGGGACUGAGACACGGCCCAGACUCCUACGGGAGGCAGCAGUGGGGAAUCUUGCGCAAUGGGCGAAAGCCUGACGCAGCCAUGCCGCGUGAAUGAUGAAGGUCUUAGGAUUGUAAAAUUCUUUCACCGGGGACGAUAAUGACGGUACCCGGAGAAGAAGCCCCGGCUAACUUCGUG
Molecule: ribosomal RNA, 432 nt
Filed under: uncultured bacterium
Lineage: Bacteria
Description: partial 16S ribosomal RNA
Rfam family: Bacterial small subunit ribosomal RNA
Source: RNAcentral